This 253-nucleotide ribosomal RNA is filed under the name uncultured bacterium. Its description in RNAcentral is "partial 16S ribosomal RNA". It matches the Rfam family "Bacterial small subunit ribosomal RNA", at positions 524 to 776 of the family's 1533-position model. The record is from RNAcentral.
UACAGGGGGGGCAAGCGUUGUUCGGAAUUACUGGGCGUAAAGGGCCAGUAGGCGGCCAACUAAGUCCGACGUGAAAUCCCCAGGCUUAACCUGGGAACUGCGUCGGAUACUGGAUGGCUUGAAUUCGGGAGAGGGAUGCAGAAUUCCAGGUGUAGCGGUGAAAUGUGUAGAGAUCGGGAGGAACACCGGUGGCGAAGGCGGGUCUCUGGGCAAUUCCUGACGCUGAGGCGCGAAAGCGUGGGGAGCAAACGGG